This 72-nucleotide transfer RNA is filed under the name Bos taurus (domestic cattle). It matches the Rfam family "tRNA". From Rfam's summary of the family: Transfer RNA (tRNA) molecules are approximately 80 nucleotides in length. Their secondary structure includes four short double-helical elements and three loops (D, anti-codon, and T loops). The record is from Rfam by way of RNAcentral. RNAcentral also lists the same sequence under 1 other name. Lineage: Eukaryota; Metazoa; Chordata; Mammalia; Artiodactyla; Bovidae.
UCCCUGGUGGCUCAGAUGGUAAAGCGUCUGUCUGCUAUACAGGAGACCCGGGUUUGAUCCCUGGGUUGGGAG